AGGCUUGGGGUGAGGCCAGGGAAGGGUUUGGGGUGUCCCCUGGGCCCCCAGCUGCUCCCUGGGACCUGUGUGGUUUCCACAUUUGCUGACUUUCUGCCCGCUUGGUUGUCACCCCAGGGAAGGACGGCGAGGUCCUCCCUGUCUGCCGCAUGCCCGAGCACCUCCUGCAGCUCAACAGCAAGGGUCCCGAGCACAUCUACUGCAGCUGCGUCUCGCCCUGCGGCAGCUGGGUCGCCUACUGCACGGCCUCCCGCUUCCACCUCUACCGCGUGCAGCACGAGGGCGACGGCGUCAGCGUCAAGAAGGUGGGCACGGGACGGAGGGAAGGGCAGGGGGGGAGCCCCCGGGGGGGCACGGGGUGACUGCUGAUGCUGCCUUCCUCCUCAGGUCCCCGGCGUGCCCAAGCUGCUGCUCCCGGCGUACCAGCUGCAGUGCGCCUCGGACGCGAGCCGGCUGUUUGUGGGCUCUGAGCGAG
This 475-nucleotide long non-coding RNA is filed under the name Anas platyrhynchos platyrhynchos (common mallard). RNAcentral's name for it is "lncRNA (ENSAPLG00000023362.1)". Lineage: Eukaryota; Metazoa; Chordata; Aves; Anseriformes; Anatidae. The record is from RNAcentral.